CGGUGCUGGAAGGUUAAGAGGAGUGGUUAGCUUCUGCGAAGCUACGAAUCGAAGCCCCAGUAAACGGCGGCCGUAACUAUAACGGUCCUAAGGUAGCGAAAUUCCUUGUCGGGUAAGUUCCGACCCGCACGAAAGGCGUAACGAUUUGGGCACUGUCUCAACGAGAGACUCGGUGAAAUCAUAGUACCUGUGAAGAUGCAGGUUACCCGCGACAGGACGGAAAGACCCCGUGGAGCUUUACUGUAGCCUGAUAUUGAAAUUUGGCACAGCUUGUACAGGAUAGGUAGGAGCCUUUGAAACGUGAGCGCUAGCUUACGUGGAGGCGCUGGUGGGAUACUACCCUGGCUGUGUUGACUUUCUAACCCGCACCAUUUGAUCAUGGUGGGAGACAGUGUCAGGCGGGCAGUUUGACUGGGGCGGUCGCCUCCUAAAGAGUAACGGAGGCGCUCAAAGGUUCCCUCAGAAUGGUUGGAAAUCAUUCGCAGAGUGUAAAGGCACAAGGGAGCUUGACUGCGAGACCUACAAGUCGAGCAGGGUCGAAAGACGGACUUAGUGAUCCGGUGGUUCCGCAUGGAAGGGCCAUCGCUCAACGGAUAAAAGCUACCCCGGGGAUAACAGGCUUAUCUCCCCCAAGAGUUCACAUCGACGGGGAGGUUUGGCACCUCGAUGUCGGCUCAUCGCAUCCUGG
Molecule: ribosomal RNA, 688 nt
Filed under: Flavobacterium circumlabens
Lineage: Bacteria; Pseudomonadati; Bacteroidota; Flavobacteriia; Flavobacteriales; Flavobacteriaceae
Description: partial 23S ribosomal RNA
Rfam family: Bacterial large subunit ribosomal RNA
Source: RNAcentral